CAAAAUCGACCAAAAAUGGUGAAAAAAACACCCAAAAAACAAAAAAAAAAAUCUCAUCUUAGACCUGUUGAACGCAAGUAGGAGGGAAGUAGAUGUCCAUGGCGAGGAUCCCAACGCUCUUCUUCUCCAAUUCCAUCUCUAUUCGCACGCUUUGGUCGAGUCGCUCUCUACGCCCCUCACCUGUUUGUGUUAUUUCCUCUUCGAAAACGAUACACAGAGGAGAGAGAGAAGAGAGCCCCCAACGGUCCCAUGCCUCGCUUUUCCCCCUCUCUCUACAUAUAAAGAGCGAAAAAAAAGGACCAAGCGCUUCACCAAUUUAUUAUAAUUUUUAAUUUAAAAUUUUAAUUUAUUGUAAUCAAAUUUAAAAAUUUAAUUUAAUUUAUUAAUUAUUGAUAUGUCACUAAUAUUAAAUAAGAAUAACAAUUAAGAUGCUACAUUACUUUUAGGGUCCGUUUGGUUUGAGUUAUGUAAUAUUACAAAGUAUCUCGACAUAUUCAGGUAUUUUGGAUUUUGGCGUGAGAUUACUACUGAUGCUGCAUUAGAGCGUUUGGUUUAAUACAGUAAUGUAAUACUAGAUUACAGUGCUCAUAGCAUUAAUAUGUUUAGUUCAGUUUAUAAAAUUUAAUAAUCCUGACAUAAAAGUAUAAUUUUUUUCAAAAUUGCCCUUAUUGUGGUCAUUUGAAUAUUAUUUUUUACGGAAAUGACGAAUGGAGGGAAGAAGAUUGUGAUGAUUACUUGGGAGGACGACGCAAUAGAAGAUGAUAGGUGUUCGUGCGAGAGAGAGAGAGAGAGAGAGAGAGAGAGAGAGAGAGAGACGUCGAGAGAGAGAGAGAGCGAGAGAAAGCGGCGUGCGAGAGAGAGGGCCGGGGGGAAGGCGAGAGAGAGAUGAAAAUAAUGCUGUUAAUUAGAUUUGGGGUUGUUAGAGGGUAAAAUUGUUAUUUUAUAUAAUAUGUAGUAUUAACGGAUUUCAGUAAUGCAAGAUACACGACCUUCCUCCCGUUAAUAUUUUCGAUGUAAUCCUGCUCGAUUUGUAAUGCUACAUUAACGACUAGAUUACAUAGCGGAUUAACCAAACACAGUUAUCCUGACAGGAUUGCCUGUAAUCCUGCCAGGAUAACUCGAACCAAACGCACUUAUAUUAAUAACUCAUCAAAAUUUAAUUAACUAAAUUAGAUUGCCAGAUUUUAUUAUAACAGUUUAAAAAAUUCAAGUAAAAAAUUAUAACAAAUUAAAAUUUAAAGACCUAGGUGUAACGGUUAUAGUUUUGAGAAGGGACGGUAAUUUCACAUGGUCUUUUUUUUUUUUUUUUUUAGAAUAAGAUAGCACACUACCCGCUUCUUUCAUUGACAAUAAUAAACUUAGCUACAUAUAUAAGGCAAAUAGGCAUAUGAAAGAAAGCGAAAAAAAAAAAAAAUUUCACACAAUCUCUGACGGGGGUAGAUGGGGGAUAAGACCUGUGUGCUCUGUACUGACCAUAGUUAGUAAAUUCGGAUUCGGCAAAAAUUUGGUACGGAUAUAAUACGCAGAAAAUUCGUUUUCUAAUUUUUAAAUUCGUUGAAAAAUUCGGCUUAAAAAACAAAUUUGAUAUAAAAUAUAAAUAUAAGAUAAUUUAUAUUUAAAAAUAUAAAUUAUAAAUUUUUUAUUUAUAUUUUUAAUAACUCGCGAAUAAUUCGUAAAUAAUUCGGCUGGCCCAAAAAUUCACGAAUAAUUUUCUUUAUUUAGAAAAAAUUUAUAAACGGACCAUUUAAUUCGAAUUUUCAAUAACUCGUGAAUAAUUCGUGAAUAAUUUGCGAAUUAACUAACUAGGGUACUGACUUUUGCGAGACUGUUGACCACCUUUUCACACGGUCUUUCAUCUUUCUGAUAAUGUUUUUAGUUUGAGCACUUUUUUGUGUGUAAUUAUUAGUACCAUCUGCAAGGGCAACUUCCCUGAGCCGAACGAGAUCUUAUUAAAACAUUUUGGUGAAUUGUAUGAUUUAUUCUGAACCAAAUUUUAAAGAUCUAUUUUAAUUUAAAACUUUUCAAUCAAAAUUUUAAAGUUUUACAAUAUUUUUUUUUUCUUUCUUUCCAUUUAGUAAAAAAGAACAUAGCUUUUUUGAACUAUGAUCUAAUAUUUUAAUUUAUUUAAUUUGAGUCGGUCAAUGACACUUUAAUUUUAAAAUUUGAAUAUAUUAUUUAUCUUACAGCUUUAGCUAGUAUACUUUAUAUAAUUCUCGUAACUAUAAAUUCAUUAAAAAAAAAUAAUUAGCUUAAAUUUUAAAGCCAGAAUAAAAUAAAAAAAUAUGAUAAUAAAAUUGAAAUUUUAAAUUUUUGUUAGUGAAAUCAAAAUUAUCAACUAGAAGAGUAUUACGCUUUGUUACUUGAUUUCAAAAGAAAAAAAGAAAAAAAAAAAAAAAAAAAAAAAAAAAAGGCAAAGCACCAAAAGUGAUCUUUACCUCUUAUACGGCAAUAUGUAUGUUGGUAGUUCUCAUUUUGAUUCGAAGAAACUUCAUGAGCAAUAGGUGAGCAAGGAAAGGAAAGUUUUAUUUGUACAUCUGUCAAAAAAAGAGUUUAGAUUUUACACUUUAUUUUAUAAUUCACAAAACCUAAUAAAUUGUUAAUAUUUUAAAAAAUUUGACAAAACAUGAUAAUAUUAUUAGCCAUUAAAUAAAGAGGGUGUAAGAUUUACACCAUUUCUUAGGAUGUACAAAUAGCACUGCACUCGGAGCGUUUUUCUAUGUAAGUGAUACUAUUUGGAUAUGUAAUAAUUCAGCCUACUGGCACUAAUAAUUUGUGGGUCCUAAUAGUCAGCUCAAAAUAUUUAAACCUAGUUAACACACUCUCACCAUUUUAAAUCAUGACGUUUUCUCGUCAACCUGAUCACACACAGCUAAAAAUCAUCAAAUAAUGUGACGCCCACCUCACAUUUAGGGGUGGCAAUCCAACUCGUUGUUCGCGAGCCAGCUCGUAUUCGGCUCUAAAUAAACUAGAGAUCGGCUCGCUCGUUUAGUAAACGAGCCGAAUACAAGCUGAAUUUUUUAGCUCGUUUAAUAAACGAGCUGAACACGAGUUGGGGUCAGCUCGCUCGUGUUCGGCUCGAUGAGAGCUCGAAUAUAUAUAUUUUAUAUUUAUAUAAUUUAUUUAAUUUAUAUUUUUAUAUAUAAAUAAAUAAUUAUAUAUAUUAUAUAUUUUUAUUAUUUAAUUUUUAGUAAAAUAAAAAUAUAAAUACGAGCUUAAUUAUAAAAAGACUCAUUUAUAUGUAAAGUUUCAACUAUUAGAUCAAACUCUAAUGGAUAACAUUUUAUAUAUAUUUAAUCUAAUCCCUUUUUAAUUUAUUGUUCGUUGGCCAGCUCGUGAGCCAGCUCGUGUUCGGCUCGGUAAUAAACGAGUCGAACACGAGCUGAAUUUUUCGGCUCGAUACUUUAAUAAGCCAGCUCGUGUUCCGCUCGUUUAAUAAACAAGCCGAACACAAGCUGACCCUAGCUCGCACGUAUUCGGCUCGUUUACACCCCUACUCACAUUUUCCGCUAAUGAACCAGCUUUGAUGCCAACUAUAAUAACCCAACUCAUUAACACUAAAGACUUCCGCUAGUGAACCAGUUUUGCUGCCAACUAUAAUAACCCAACCCACUAACACUAAAGACUGCUAUAACCAAACCACCGACCUAAAAUAUUUAAAUCUAGUUAUUUAUUAUAUAUUAUGCGUCCGUCACAUAUAGGCCUCCCGCGCUUUUUCAUAUUAUUGAAUAUGAAACUAUUUAAGAGUAUAGCUAAAUAUAAGAUGUAAAUUUUGCAUUCUAGCCAUCCAAAUGCUAAUAUUUACUUACUAGUCUUAACAACUUCUAAUCAUAGAAAGCUUUGUAUGGGCAUAGUAGAUGUGAGCAUUACUCUACUUACAUCGGCUUUUGAAUAUACAAAUAACAUUAUACACAUGUGUACAUUCGAAAAACAAUUAUUGUGCAGUACAAUGAGUGCAGUGCGUUUGUAAUCAUCACGAACAGCCACUUUUGGAUAUACAAAUAACAUUACGCGUUUGUCACUGCAUGAGCAAUUCUUGGGCCAUGCAAUGAGUGCAUUGGCGCUGUGAAUGUCCCGCGUGAUCGGUCUCUCACGUUGCCACGUCACCAGUACAGCAGUUUUAUUACCCACACAAACGGAGACCCUUCCGUACAAUUUUCCACCCUUACCCCUCAUUCCUCCAUCCAACGGUGCAAAAUCGCUGCGCGUGUGACCCAACCACAGAAAAUUAAGACUCUCAAAGUUUCAGCUGAACUAAAAUUCGAAUAAAAUUAUUUUUUAUUACCAUUUGAUGAAUAAAAAAUUGGUAAUUUUAAUACUCUAGUCAUCGUUUUUUUAAAUUCAUUUCAUCAAAAAUUUUAGGCACUAUCUACAAUGCAAGAUCGCGAGAGAGCGUAUGUGAGAUGUGAAAAUUAGGAUUAUCAACAAGCUAAACAAGAGCGAAGUGAGGCCGGCUCAUAUUCGUUCGUUUAUUAAACAAGAAGAAUACAAGUUGACUUGUUAAAAUAUCGAGCUAAAAAAUUUAGCUCAUAUUCUAUUAAUGAGCUGAAUAUGAGUUAGUUCGCGAAUAGUAAGUUAGAUUGGCAGCUUUAUUACUGGAUGCAAAUUUAUAAAAAAUUAAAAUCUUAAUCUAAUAAUCAAAAUUUAGAAAAUAUAAAUCUUUUUAUAUUUAGAUUGGCCUAAAAAUUUAAAUAGUAGAAAUUUAUAAUAUAAAUAAAAUAUAUCGAGCUAAAUACUAGCGAACUGACCUUAACUUGUUGUGUUCGACUCAUAAGGUUUCGAACUGAAAAUUUUAGUUUGUAUUCAGCUCGUUUAUUAAACGAGCAAUCGAUCUCGAGUUCAUUUCAAGCCCAACGAGAACCGAUACAGCGAGCUAGAUUGCCAGCCCUAUCUACAGUAAAGUCAAUUAUAACAUUUAAAAAAAAUAAAAUUACAAUCAAAGCUAAUUUAUGAUAAAUAAAAUAAUAAAAAUAGUAUUUAUGGCCGAAAAUCACCUCCCUCAGCUUUUGGUGCAAAAAAUAUCCCCUAAUUGUACCACUGCAUCCCAUUGCUAAAUAUUUGAGGUCCCAAAUAUUUGCCGUAGAAUUUUGUGAUUUGUUAACGAAUUUACAUAUAUAGUUCUUAAAGUACUUGUAUAAGGUAAAUUUAAGCUCUCAAUAACGUGUAUAAGGUAAAUUUAUACUGCAUCCUUAUGCUAGAAGUUUCAAAUAUUUUUAAUUAUAUUUAACGAUAUGAAUCAUCAAUUUAAAAGCUCCAUCAUAAAAAAUAAUUUAUAAGUAUAAAGAUAUUUAUACUCAUAAAAGUAGAGUCCGGCUACUAUACUUUUAUGAGUAUUGGCUUCUUUAUACUCAUAAGUUUUCGGUCCUUAGAUUUAUUCUAUUGAUCAUUUCCACCCAUUAGAUCAUACUAUUCAACCAACUACCCACUUAACCCUAGGGGACCACUAUUAUUCUAAGUGGGACCACCAUCAUCCUAACCACAUAUCCCAUCACUCAACGGUUCAAAAUUUAUAAGUACAAGGAGAUUUAUACUCAUAAGAGUAUAAUAGUCCAAGCCCAUAAAAGCAUAGUAACUCUAGUGUAAUUUUAGAGGCCCACACUAUCAUUUCAAGAUGAUAGAAGUCUUUGAUAUAUUAAGUCAUUUUAGAUGAUUAAAAUUCUAAAUCGAUAAUUGACAUCGUUGAAAUUGAUCUACAUCAUUAGACAUACUUACAAAUUAAAUAUUGUAAUUUUAAAAAAUAAUUAUGAAAUCCAUCCAUUUGUUUUCGAUGAUAAAGCUUCCUAAUUGACGAUCGGUAUCGUUGAAUAUUUUACUACUUGAAGCAUCUAGAAACCGAAUUUUAUUUUUUUUAUUUUUUUCAAUAUUAUUUUAUUUUCCAUCAAAUGGACACAAAAAUGAAUAUCUUUUAAAAAGUCUAAAAAUAAAUAUCAUUUAAAAAAUGAUAAUAGGUAUCUUAUAAUCAAGAUCGAGAGUAUAAAUUUUGUUUUAAAUAAUUUAAAAAAUAUUUUAAUCAAAAUUCAAUUGAUUUGAAUAUUUUCACGCCGUUAAACAAAAAAACAUUUCAUAUUGACCAUUAAAAUUAUAAAUUUUAAAACCCUUUGAGCAUUAAGUCAAUAAUAUUGAAAAGAUUUAUAAUUUUAUUUUUAGAUACUUCAAGUGGUAUAAAUCAUAUUUAACGAUGCCGAUCAUCGAUUUGAAGGCUCCAUCAUCGAAAACAAAUAAGUGGUAACAAAAUUUGUUUACCACCGAUAGCAUUUCAGUCCAAUUAUAUAUAUAUAUAUAUAUAUAUAUAUAUAGUGCGGCUAGGAUGCUUAUGGAAGCACGGAGGGCUCCGUGCUUCCACUUUGUUUUCGAUGUUCGGACUUACGAAUCGACGAUCGGCACUUUUAGACUUGAUCUAGAGUAUUUGAAGUAUCUAGAAAAUAAAUUUUGCGAUUUUUCGAUAUCAUUUGCCUAGUGAUCUAAAUGGCUCAAAAUCAACGGCUGAAACUAAAAAUCUUACAAAAUAUGAUGAUAUGACAUUAAAAUUUUAGAUCAAAGUUAUUGAUCUUGUUUUAUAUGGUAUAAAGAAUUUUUUAUCAAAAUUCAUGUGAUUUGGAUAUUUCUACACCGUUAAACUUGCAACCGGCUCACCACGGCCAUUAAAAUUAAUGAUUUUAAGCCCCUCCGAUCACUAGGCAAAUGAUAUCGAAAAAUUACAAAAUUUAUUAGGUACUCCAAAUACUCUAGAUCAACUCUAACAAAGCCGAUCGUCGAUUCGAAAGUCUGAACUUUGAAAACAACUAGCACGGAGGGCUCCGUGCUUCCAUAAGCAUACCAGCCCACUAUAUAUAUAUAUAUAUAUAAAACUCAUCUCUCGCAUGGUCUAAUUUCUACGACAUUUAUUUUUUAUCAAACAAACAGUGAAACUGAAAUAACUUCAGUUCCAUAAUUAUACAAAUAAAUAAAAAAUAAUAAUAAUUUUUAUCUAAAUUUUAAUUUAUCUCAAAACUUAUUUAAAGCUAACUUUGCUGAUCAGUAAUAAAACAAAUCCAUUAUUAUACCCAAAAAAAAAAAGCAAUAAAAAAAAGGUUGGCGUAUUUUCGUAACCUUAACCCCCAAAAAAGCAACAAUCCUCGCGGACGUACUCCGUCGGAUAAUGCUAAAGAAUUUUUAAACUGAGUUUACAAGAGCUCAUCCGCGAUCUCGAUUUUGCAACGGUCAAAACAAAAUUUGUGGGUCCCACAUGUCAGUGCAAGACCCGGUGCACGCGCCCGGUUACACCAAACACCAAACACCUCCCCACCACCAAACAAAUGAAAACCAAAAGCCUCCACAAUCUUGCUGUAGAAGAAGCCGCAGCUCCCCCAUUACACCUACCCCUAACUCUACCCCCAAAAACUACCCCGACACUCCAUGAAACCAACACCGAAGCAAAUGACCUACAAAGAGACAUAUCAUAUCGGUGGCAAAAAGAUCAGAUUGGAUCGAGUCACGUUUAAAAAUGACAGAAAAUCGAGUUGAACCGAAUCACAAUCGAGACUUGUAGACGUUAUAUUUAUACAUUUUAAGUGAAUUGAUUGUGUCAGUGCGAAAGGUAAAUGAUAUCCCACAGAACUAUGGAUACAGGAAUCAAAGAUUAGCUUGGUACCGUGUUAUUGAAAAGAUCGAUCUAAUAGAAAACAAACAACACGAACAAAGAGAGAGGAGAGAUUGGGGGGUGGCAUUAAUGUGUACCUGUCGAACGCAAGUAGGAGGGAAAUAAAUGUCCAUGGCGAGGAUACCAACGUUCUUCCUCUCCCCUUCCAUUUUCUUCCCAAUUUUACUCCUUCUAUUUGAAUCCCACCACCUGUUUGUUAUAAUUCCUCAAAGAAAAAGAAGAUGAUGACGAUGAUGAAUACGAGCGAGAGAGAGGGAAAGAGUAAAAAGGGUUUCCACCAAGCGCG
RNAcentral lists this long non-coding RNA (7922 nucleotides) under Ananas comosus (pineapple). RNAcentral describes it as "long non-coding RNA (ACOM_LNC038070)". Lineage: Eukaryota; Viridiplantae; Streptophyta; Magnoliopsida; Poales; Bromeliaceae. The record is from RNAcentral.